This 274-nucleotide ribosomal RNA is filed under the name uncultured bacterium. RNAcentral's name for it is "partial 16S ribosomal RNA". It matches the Rfam family "Bacterial small subunit ribosomal RNA", at positions 523 to 796 of the family's 1533-position model. The record is from RNAcentral.
AUACGAAGGGUGCAAGCGUUAAUCGGAAUUACUGGGCGUAAAGCGCGUGUAGGCGGCUUGGUAAGUCGGAUGUGAAAGCCCGGGGCUCAACCCAGGAAUUGCAUUCGAAACUGUCUAGCUAGAGUAUGGUAGAGGGAAGCGCAAUUCCGGGUGUAGCGGUGAAAUGCGUAGAUAUCCGGAGGAACACCAGUGGCGAAGGCGGCUUCCUGGACCAAUACUGACGCUGAGGUGCGAAAGCGUGGGGAGCAAACAGGAUUAGAUACCCCAGUAGUCC